Raphanus sativus (radish) is the source of this 108-nucleotide small nucleolar RNA. Lineage: Eukaryota; Viridiplantae; Streptophyta; Magnoliopsida; Brassicales; Brassicaceae. The record is from RefSeq and is a predicted model, not a curated record.
AAUAAAUAGUGAGGAAAUUCUAUGCAGUGGUCAUUGAAACGCUCUUAUGCAUCACAAAAAGGCUCAGCAGCCAGCUGUCUGAAAGAGGUGAUUCUUUCCCUCAAUGCU